UCACAGUCUGCGGUCCGCACGGAUAGUAUUGAUCCCCGGGCCAGCCUGAGACGCCGCUCGUAGCUGACGUGAGCACAGGUUUGAAGUGACCACCAAACCAACAAUCAUCCCAAAGCAUGAUGGCUAAACCAAUGGCCCUGCUCAGUGG
Molecule: long non-coding RNA, 148 nt
Organism: Pollicipes pollicipes
Lineage: Eukaryota; Metazoa; Arthropoda; Thecostraca; Pollicipedomorpha; Pollicipedidae
Exons: 3
Source: RefSeq, a predicted model, not a curated record